This 301-nucleotide ribosomal RNA is filed under the name uncultured bacterium. Its description in RNAcentral is "partial 16S ribosomal RNA". It matches the Rfam family "Bacterial small subunit ribosomal RNA", at positions 509 to 807 of the family's 1533-position model. The record is from RNAcentral.
CAGUAGCCGCGGUAAUACGAAGGGGGCUAGCGUUGUUCGGAUUAACUGGGCGUAAAGGGUGCGUAGGCGGGUCUUUAAGUCAGAGGUGAAAUCCCAAGGCUCAACCUUGGAACUGCCUUUGAUACUGGGGAUCUUGAGUCCGGGAGAGGUGAGUGGAACUGCGAGUGUAGAGGUGAAAUUCGUAGAUAUUCGCAAGAACACCAGUGGCGAAGGCGGCUCACUGGCCCGGAACUGACGCUGAGGCACGAAAGCGUGGGGAGCAAACAGGAUUAGAUACCCCUGUAGUCCCUGUCUCUUAUAC